This 311-nucleotide ribosomal RNA is filed under the name uncultured Comamonadaceae bacterium. Its description in RNAcentral is "partial 16S ribosomal RNA". The record is from RNAcentral. Lineage: Bacteria; Pseudomonadati; Pseudomonadota; Betaproteobacteria; Burkholderiales; Comamonadaceae.
GGAGUUUGGGCCGUGUCUCAGUCCCAAUGUGGCUGGCCGUCCUCUCAGACCAGCUACUGAUCGUCGCCUUGGUGGGCCAUUACCCCACCAACCAGCUAAUCAGCCAUCGGCCGCUCACAGGGCGCGGGGCCCCGAGGGGUCCCCCGCUUUAAUCCGUGGAUGCCAUGCGGUAUUAGCCAACCUUUCGGCUGGUUGUCCCCCACCCCGUGGCACGUUCCGAUGUCUUACUCACCCGUCCGCCACUCGCCGCCAGGCCGGAGCCCGCGCUGCCGUUCGACUUGCAUGUGUAAAGCAUGCCGCCAGCGUUCAAU